AUGCCACAACAAGGCAGCAUAUUGCCACAUCCAUAUCAUAAUGGUAUCAGUCAACCAAAAUAUAGCCAAAAAUAUGAAUUUUCUAGUUAACAUAACCAAUAUAUUCAACCAACAAAAAGGAAAUAAUCGCAGUUCAUUUUUUUUGGUCUCUUGGAGCCACAAUGUCAUAGCCUUGACAUCCUUACAGUUGGUUGCUUCCUGUUUGAGGAUCUACUUUGUUGGCUUUCUUGGUUGGUAUCACUUAUAAGCUAACUUGGUUCCUGUAUAUAAGUCUUCAUGGUUAGUAUGUAAGUAGAUCGCAGCACCCAAAAAAAGGCAAUUGAGAACUAGUACCUAUGAAAGAGUAGUAGCAGUAGUACUUGAGACACUAGCCUGAGCUAUAGAAGCUACAGAUGUUGCAUUUUUUGUUGGACCAACUUUAGAUGCCUAUAGUUCAAAUCGAAAUGAAUGAGUGUAUAAGUAACAACAAAAUAAACUAAAAAAUUGAUUUGGUUCUAAAAUGUUACAUUACUUUGUAAAGUUUGGAUUUAGGGUGAUUGCUGAUUUGCAGGUUCUUCUGUUAAGUUCAGAUUUCAAACGCCUUCGGCAGUAAACUGCAAGACCCUUCCUACUUGCUUUCUACUGAUUUAUAGGCUAUUCUAGACCCUUCUUCCUCUGUGUCUUUGGCCUACCAGGCUGUUUUUUCACCAAUGGUGGGUUCAAAUAUUGCAUUUUGCUAUCCACCUAGAACUAUUUCAAAGGAACGGGACCAAUUGUGAAGUUGUAGGCCCUUAAAUAUGCUUCCCUAUGGUGACAAGCAUCAACAUAUUGCUCGAAUUCCAACUUUCUGCUAUGAAUGCAGGCAACCGCAUGCACGCAUGGAAUGCCACUAAGUUGAAAAUGACCAUAGGUACAUGUUUUCAUCUCCACAUUAACAACAUUUGUCCUUCCAUAGCCAUCAACUUCCAAAUUUUCAUUUCUCCAUAAAUCGCAGCACAAUUUCUUGCAUUUACCUUUAGUUUCUCUAACUUCUCAUGAAUGUUUUGGGCAUAAAGUGCCACCAUGUUUCAGGAUGUCCUCUCAUUUAGUUGCUGACCUUUGCAUUAAUCUCCUCUGAAUCCACUCCAGCAUUGUUAUUAUUGGCUCAUCUCUAGCUUUUAGAAUAUAAUUAUUCCAUGGCUCACUCAUAUUGUUGAUGCACGUGUCACUCCUACAAGCUGUACUGGACCAUAGUUUUGGAGGCAACUGUUUGAACCAUCCUGCAGCUGCUAGCUUGUCACCUUCCUGUGGAUCCGCCCUUUCAAGAUUUGUUAGGGUAGUUUCAUACUCUGAUAUGCUUGCUGCUGCAGCAACUUUCCAAAACAUGCCCCUAUGGUCUUGAUUUUUGAAUCUUUGUUUGAAGUUCCCGAACAUAUGUUUCAGGCAGAAUUUGUGCUCUAAUUCAGGGAACAACUCCUCAAUUACAUGGACAAGGCCCCUUUGUCUAUUCGAAAUGAAAGUGUAAGCCAAGACUGUAAGCAUCCCUACCCAAGACUGUAAGCAGCUAACUUCCAAAGGGACUAUUCAGCAAGCAGCCAUCUAGUCCUAUCAUAGGUCUGCAUCCUUCUAGAAAAUCAUUCUUUAGAGUACCUAAUCCAUAAUAUAUCCUCUGAAAUGUAGCCCUUUUCUCAACAUUUCGCCUAUCAAUUUGUAGUGAAAUAUGACUAUCAUAAUUGGAUAUUUUUACAGUAGCUACAUAAUCCCAAAGUUUAUGGUAUUGUUCCAUGUCAUUUUUCAUAAGUGCCUCUAAUACUUUCGGCUUUGUUGUUACAGCUUUUUUCUAACUAAUGUCUAGCAUAAAUAAUCUGCUUGUCUCUUUCACUAUGGCAAGAAUACUAUACCCAAGAUCAUCUGUCACCUUGACAUAAAAUUUAUUACUUAGAUAUGUUGAAGUGGCAUGUCUAUUGUUGUAAUUCCUGCCACAAUGGUAUUCUCCCUUAAGAGUUUUGAUCAUAAAUAUCUUUGUUCUAUAGAUUCUGCUUGCAUGAAUUCUCCAACUGCACCCUUUUGCACAUUUAGUUGUGAUUUGGAAGCCUUCAUUUUUGAUGUAUUUGUGCUCAUAUCCUUCCCUAAUUUCUCAUUCCACCAAAGCCUCUCUAAAUUUACAGAAGCUAGUAAAUUUAUGGUCAACCUAUAGUUCAAAGUGCUCUUUUCUAAACUCUUCCUCCGCAUUGAAGUAACUGUAAUCAGGAAUGCUAUCAUCAUCAGAUCCUAUCCCUUUGUCAAACAGGUUUUCAUCAUCCUCUACUGGCUCAUUCCAGUUCUCUUCCUGUUCAUUAGCACAACAGCUAUCAUCCACACCUGAUGUUGGUUGACUCCCCACUUCAUGGGUCUGGUUCUUUGUUUGUUUUCUUGAUUUCGAUUACUGAUUUUGUUGUUGCUACUUUGAAUCAAUUUGUUUUUUGAAUUGGGCCUGCUGAUUUUCUUCUUGUUAAUCUAAAUCGACUUAUUUUCUAGUUUUUACUUGCUAAUUUUCUUUUUACUGCUGUGAACCAACUCCAACAAAAUUUGUAGAUUUUAGAUUUAUAGAUACCUGUGUUGAUCAUUAACCUUUUAAACUUAUAAAUAUGUCAUCAUCUUCAGGCCAUUCUAGUGCUUCUCUUAGUCAGUCAGGAAGAUCUGAAUAAUCUAGUUUGACAUCAUCUUCUUCUCUGUCUUCAUGAACUAUUUUUUCUCCCAUAAUAUUAGUUGUUUCUUCUAUUGGAUCUCUCUCAACUGUUGUUUCAUCUACUGAAUUCCUUGUGGGAGACUGUUGGACCUCUGAGGAUGUAUCGACUUUUUCUUUCUCUUUAAAUAACCGCCUGACUGACUUUUUUGCACUUAACUUUACUCUUUGCCGCUUAACUUUUUUAUCAUUUGUUGUUUUCUUCCUUUUGGACUUGUUAGCUAAAUCAUGUAUCUCCUCUCUAUGUGGUCCCACAAAAGUUGGAUCCGACUCCAUUUGUGAUGACUCUUCAUCACAGAUGUCAUUUCCUCUAGAGUUAAUGUGUGGAAUGUCAUUAUUGUCCUUAUUCCCAAUUACUAAAGGGUCAAUGUUAUCACUGCUUUUCAUAACUGAGGAUGAACUAAUUUCAACAUGCCAAUUGUUAUCAUAUGGAAGUGCAACUACGCCAUCACUAGUCACUCUCUUGUAUAGUAAUUUUUCAUCUAAAAACAUAACUUCAAUGGGAUCAGGCCCCCUCUCAGCAUCUAUGUGCAUUUUUGGAAGUCCCUCAUAACAUGUUGUUAAUAACUCGAUGUCAACAUCAUCCUUAAUGCUAACAACACCAAUAUCAAUGUCAUAAAAGGGGAUAGAGUACCAGAAAUUCAUAUUUGUUAUGCCACGCUCAAUUGUGAUAUACAUUUUUUGAAAUUCAAAUGAAGAUAAUUCAUCAGGAUCCCAUCCACAAAAUACUCUGAAGUGUUUGCCAGUGUAUCUAAUUAUCGAUUUUCAUUUGAAAUAUCCAUCAUAAUGCAUGUGUAUAUCUAUGGUCUUAAACGGAUGAUCUUCCAUUCUUAUACACCUAAACCAAAGUAAUAGAGAUUAAUUUACUAAUUUCAUUUUCAAUUGUAUCGAAAAGAACGGACAAUAUUUCAUACAUUUUCGAUUUCAAAAAAACAUAGUCAACAUUAACGCACUUAUCUAGAAGGAUAAAAAACAUAAUACCAGUAUGGGCUACAAUAGUCCCGGUUACUCCAAAAAGACCCAUUCUUUUCUACUUUUUGCAUAUUUAGCAAUUUUUAAAAAAUUUUCCCACAAAGAUUGUCAAAAAAACUUCUGACUAAGCCAAAACUGACACUCUUUUUACCAAGUUUCAAAAUAUCCCCAACAAUUUACUACCAAAACACCUUCCAUCAAACCAAUCAACACCUCUAAAAUUUAGGGUUCAGAUCUAAGAUUACCUCGUUAAUAGCUAUGCAAUGCUCAAUACGUCGCAACCCUCGACCGAUCUACACAGAAACGCCUUCUUCGUCUGCGAGUUACACAUGAAAAUCCCGUUGUUUAUCGGUGCCGUAGAAGAUGAUAGUGAUUGGGACGGAACUUGGCUGUAGAUUUAAGGUUUCUCUCUCUACACAUGAAGUACCGCUCAAGAUCUGCUAAUUGCAUCUGUACCUUUUCAGAUAUUAUAAAUGAGGGUACUUUUGGUAUUUUAUAUUGUUACCGGCUUUCCAGCCAGUUAGCUAGUAAAAUCCAAAGAAAUCCAAAGUACAAGGGAGUUAAGUGAGUGUUUCUAGACAAUAAGGGGGUUUCGUGUCAAUUUUCCUAACCACAAGGGGAUUUUCUGUAUUUUACCCAUAAUUUUUCUAAAAAAAAGUACAUUUGCUUAGAAUAAGAUCUCUUAAUAAUAACUUAAAUUUCUUCUAGAAUUAGUAAAUUUCAACAAUUAUAAUGGCAUUGGAAAGGUAUCAAGUUGAAGGAAUGAAACGAGCCAUAAAGAUUAAACAAUUCAUAAUGAACAAGAAGAAUAUACCUUAAUAUGCAACUUGGUCCAUGUGAGAUAAAUCUUCAAACUUUUGGCAACUCAAUUUCUUUUAAUUGUCUUUACUUCCUGCAUAUAUAACAAAAAAUUUACAAAAAAUUCUAUGAACAAUAAAGCAAGUAACUUGUACACAGAUAGUAGAUGUUUGACCGUAAAACAAUAAAGUUUACCUUUUUUUUGAUCCCGUGAAGAUUUUUACACUAAUCUUCUACACACAUCAAUACUUGAGUUGUAUCUGGGUGAAGUGAAGCCUGAUAGGUAUCAAUUACUAGAGUCUUGGCACUAAAUGUGGCCUCGGAUGCAACUGUAGUUACUAGAAUGGCCAAAAGAUUACAGGCCAUGUGAAACAAUACUAGGUAUGGGAUCCAAUUUAUUUUCUAUAAUUCCAAACAAUCAAAGUCUUUGGUGGUUGUUCCAAUCUUUUGGCAAGACUUGUCUAAAUAAUCAACAAAUUCAUAUUUAUAAGGUUCGGUAUUCUAUAUUUCAUCACAAUACUUAUCAAAGUCAUCCUAAGCAGAAAAAUAUUGUAUAUUUUUUCCUACCAUUUCUGAAGAGUGGUCUUCCACUACUUGUCCAUUUGCAUUCACUGUAAAAGCAACAUACUCCUCAUGCAACUCAAAUAUAACUUUUCAAAUAUUGGAAAUGUUCUCAAAAGCUAGGGUAGAAAAGCUCUAUAACCCGUAUUUUCUAUCUCGGAUCUAAAAUGGCAGCAACUGUCAUUAGCAAAUUACAUUCAAUAUUGUGACGACCCCACCUUCUUCUAGGGCGUACCCUAGAAGUUAGCGGACUGCCUGCCUGACUUUCGUUAGGACUCACUCACUCACAUUGACUUCAGAGAUAAUAUUUCCAUUAAACAACUGAACGUUCACUCCUAAGUACAACUCCAAUCAGCUUGAAACAUAAAUUUUUCCAAUAAAAGAAACAAAAUACAUGUUCUAAACAUCCAUUCUUAAUACCACACCAAACUCAUGAUAAAAGGUUUGACCAUUUCAAGGUACAAAGGAAAACCAUAGCUACAAUAUAUACACAUUAACGGAUCUUUCAAAACAACUUACUAAUUCAACUCGAUCAUUCUUCAAACUUCAAUUCCUGUAAGGAAAACAAACUAAAAGAUUGAGCGAAACCCAGUGAGGUUCCACACAAGCAACAAUCAAUAAACUCUUAAACCAGUUAAGCCAAUAACAAAAUUAAACAACUAAGGAACACUUUACUGAACAAUCACUUUUAAAGGGAUACGGUGCUCGCAUUAGAGCCAUUUCAAUGCACUACACACUCCACCGAACUCCUCCUUAUAAUCUCCAAAACAGUAAACAUUUCGCUUACUUAGAUGGUCAUAUCAAUAUCAGUAAUCUGCUACUCCGUGGUAAUACUCGAGCAUAAAACACUGGCAUAAUCAUAUAAGUAUCAUUUAAGCAACACAUAGGCAAUUUAAACACACAAAUGUGGAAACACUCACCAAAUUCCAAAUAAAUUACUCUCGAGUCUCGGGUUUGCUUUCUUACUCACAGCUAGCCCCCUGAGACAAGUUUAUAACUCUAAAGUGAAUAUACAAUUCAUAGAUGACCACUUAUCAUUUAUUACCUUAUGAUUUAAACUAUUAAAGUCGAGUUUUGGCUUUAAAAUACAAGAUAUAACAUAUGCAAUACCUAUCUUACAUUUCACCUCAAAACUUAUCAACUUUAUCAAUUUAAACUAAAGAAAUAACAUAUAUUCCAAGUUUAAAGUCUUAUAAGAUGUUUAGCUUAAGAUUAAACCAUUUUCUAUUCAUUAUUCUAAGAUUAAGGCAAAUAGACUUUUCAUUCUUUCCUUUUUAGAUUAAACUAGAUUCUAAGUUGCCUAUAGUUUAAAUCUCGUUUAAAUUUUACUAAUUUUCUAGUUUUAAGUUCUUUAAAAUGCUCAUAAAAAUAGUUUCAAGAUGCUAUAAGAUGCUCCAUAUAAAUUCACAACCAUUUAACCUAAAUUUUCAAAAAUUUCAUGAGAGCUUCAUCUCUUCACACAUUCGGUCAGUCAAAGCAAGAAGUUUAGCUCAAAUGUUUCAAAAUCUUCAACAAAUUCCAUCUUUCACUUGCUUAAACAUUAGUUACUUAGUAUACAUUCUGUUCAACAUGAACUAAGGUGAGUAAUUCAUAAUUUCAACAUGUUAUUCAGCUAAAUCACAUACAAAAGCUGUCAUCAGCUAUAACAUUCCCCAACUAAAUUUUCUAGCAGUGUAACAGUCCAACAUUUGUUGUUUUUUUUCUCAAAUCCUUCCUUUCAAUUUCCUGUUCCAACUAAACAGGAAAAUCAUAUUUGUUAAGCUACAAAGUAGCCUUAAAGGAAAGACUGAUCAAAACUCUUCUCUCUAUCUCUCGGCCAUGAUGUAAAUUCAGUAGCAAUCAGCUUUCAAUCAAAAUUUUCUCCAUUAGUCACUUCAUUAUGUACUCAAAUCCAACAAACAUGCUAAAACUGACAUGUUACAACUUAGUACGUUGGUUUAGAGGCUAAAAUUUACAGAGGACAACCAGAGUUUCCUAGUUUUUCCUAUCGAUUGAAGCCAAUAAAUUUCCAACAGAGCAGUAGUUUAUCAUUUGACAUUUUCUCAUAGCUUACUCUUCUGUUUUAUGUUCCAAUUAAUCAUGUAGAGGAUAUUUAUUCAACUACAGAUUAUCCUAAACAAAACAUGGAAGUUUAUGACCAAAAUUCAAGAGAAAAACUGAAUUAAAUCUCAUGUCUGCGUUUAGCUGCAAAUCUGAUGCAUAGCAGCAUGCAUCAUAUUUCUUUCGUGCUCAAUUCUCUCCAUCUCAUGCUCACUUUCUCACGCAUGAAGAAAUCAAGAUGAUGUGCAACAUGUACAGAUUAACACAGGAUUUUUCGAGUUAUUAUUCACAAAGUCAGCUGAUUUCCUCCCAUUUUUCCUAUCGGAUGAGGCUGGAAAUUCCAGCAGGAGCUUUUCGUUUGUUCAUUUCAAUUUUCUAACUUUCUCCCAAAAUUCCUGCAGCUAAACCUUUAUAAUACCUAAGGUAUUUGUAUAACAGGUUCUUCCUUUGUUAUCUUUUCCAUUUUUACACUACGAAUCGAACUGCAAUUUCUAUUGAUACCUCUCGGUUCCUACCAGUUCAGUCAAAUAUUCAUUUCAUCUUCAUAACAGAAUCUUUCUACCGAAGCUUAUUCUUUUCCUCUACCAAACUCAACUUGCAGCUUAAACAUAUACUUAGUUAUACUCAGUAUAUAAGUGUUAUUCACGAAACUUACCUCUUGCCUUAAGUGUUAGGAAUUGCAGACGAAAUCAGUUUCCUUUCCAGCUUUGUUCCCUCCAGUCCUUGGUUAGUUGAUGAUGAAACUCACCAGACUCUCGUUCUCACUUUCUCAAUCUUGCUCUCUUUUCUCACUCUCUCUGUUUUCUCUCGGUGUUGGCUUGGUAAAGAGAGGAACUAUAGUUUUAUUUUGUUCUCAGCCACCGCCCAAAUUUUAGCAGAUAGU
This 7937-nucleotide long non-coding RNA is filed under the name Coffea arabica (coffee). RNAcentral's name for it is "long non-coding RNA (CARA_LNC006645)". The record is from RNAcentral. Lineage: Eukaryota; Viridiplantae; Streptophyta; Magnoliopsida; Gentianales; Rubiaceae.